GAGUUUGAUCCUGGCUCAGAUUGAACGCUGGCGGCAGGCCCAACACAUGCAGGUCGAACGGUAGCACAGGAGAGCUUGCUCUCUGGGUGACGAGUGGCGGACGGGUGAGUAAUGCAUGGGGAGCUGCCCAAUCGAGGGGGAUACCAGCUGGAAACGGUUGCUAAUACCGCAUACGCCCUGAGGGGGAAAGGUGGGGACCUUCGGGCCUACCGCGAUUGGAUGCACCCAUGUGGGAUUAGCUAGUUGGUGAGGUAACGGCUCACCAAGGCGACGAUCCCUAGCUGGUCUGAGAGGAUGACCAGCCACACUGGAACUGAGACACGGUCCAGACUCCUACGGGAGGCAGCAGUGGGGAAUAUUGCACAAUGGGGGAAACCCUGAUGCAGCCAUGCCGCGUGUGUGAAGAAGGCCUUCGGGUUGUAAAGCACUUUCGGUAGGGAGGAAGGGUUGAUGUCUAAUACSCAUCAGCAUUGACGUUACCUACAGAAGAAGCACCGGCUAACUCCGUGCC
Molecule: ribosomal RNA, 511 nt
Filed under: uncultured bacterium
Lineage: Bacteria
Description: bacterial SSU rRNA
Rfam family: Bacterial small subunit ribosomal RNA
Source: RNAcentral